This 497-nucleotide ribosomal RNA is filed under the name uncultured bacterium. RNAcentral's name for it is "partial 16S ribosomal RNA". It matches the Rfam family "Bacterial small subunit ribosomal RNA", at positions 28 to 507 of the family's 1533-position model. The record is from RNAcentral.
GAUGAACGCUGGCGGCGUGCCUAACACAUGCAAGUCGAGCGAAAAGACGAGGAGCUUGCGCCUCUGACGUUAGCGGAGGACGGGUGAGUAACACGUGGAUAACCUACUUAUAUUACUGGGAUAACUUCGGGAAAGCGGAGCUAAUACCGGAGAAUAUAUUGAACCGCAUGGGUGAUUAGAGAAUGACGGGUUUGGGGUCAGUAAUAGAGGGUUCCGCGCCGUAUUGGGUGGUUGGUAAGGUUACGGCUUAUCAAGGCGACGAGGCGUAGGCGACCGGAGAGGCUGAUCGCCCACAUGGGAAGGUAGACACGGUCAAGGCGCCUGCGGGAGGCCGCAGACGGCAAUCUGCGGCAACGGGCGAGAGCAUGACAGAGCGACGCCGAGUCAGUGAUGAAGGUCUUCGGUGCGUAAAGCUCUCUUAUUAGUGAAGAACAGCUGUGUAAGUAGCCAUGGAGGUCUUGACGGUACCUAAUCAAAAAGCACCGGCUAACUACGUG